UUUAUCCAGAGUCGGUAUAAC
Molecule: non-coding RNA, 21 nt
Organism: Caenorhabditis elegans
Lineage: Eukaryota; Metazoa; Nematoda; Chromadorea; Rhabditida; Rhabditidae
Source: Ensembl